CGCGUUGUCGGCGUGCCUCAACUACAUGCAAGUCUGAGCGGAGCUUUGAGAAGACUUGUCUUCUAAACUUAGCGGCGGACGGGUGAGUAACACGUGGGCAAUCCUGCCUUACAGACUGGGAUAACUCCGGGAAACCGAANCUAAUACCUGGAUGACCAAUGGGACCGCAUGGUCCGAUUGUAAAAGUUGGGAGCAAUCCUAACACUGUGAUAUGGGCCCGCUGCGCAUUAUCUAGUUGGUGGGGUAAUGGCCUACCAAGGCGACGAUGCGUACCGACCUGAGAGGGUGAUCGGCCACACUGGAACUGAGACACGGUCCAGACUCCUACGGGAGGCAGCAGUAGGGAAUCAUCCGCAAUGGGCGAAAGCCUGACGGUGCAACGCCGCGUGAACGAUGACGGUCUUCGGAUUGUAAAGUUCUGUUGUUAGGGAAGAACAAGUACCGUUCGAAUAGGGCGGUACCUUGACGGUACCUGACCAGAAAGCCCCGGCUAACUACGUGCCAGCAGCCGCGGUAAUACGUAGGGGGCAAGCGUUGUCCGGAAUUAUUGGGCGUAAAGCGCGCGCAGGUGGUCUCUUAAGUCUGAUGUGAAAGCCCACGGCUCAACCGUGGAGGGUCAUUGGAAACUGGGAGACUUGAGUGU
RNAcentral lists this ribosomal RNA (643 nucleotides) under uncultured bacterium. Its description in RNAcentral is "bacterial SSU rRNA". It matches the Rfam family "Bacterial small subunit ribosomal RNA", at positions 32 to 649 of the family's 1533-position model. The record is from RNAcentral.